AGGACGAACGCUGGCGGCGUGCUUAAACAUGCAAGUCGAACGAGGUCCAACUACUCGCAAGAGUGGGGAAGACCUAGUGGCGAACGGGUGCGUAACACGUGAGGAACCUGCCCCGGAGACCGGGAUAACCCCUCGAAAGAGGAGCUAAUACCGGAUGUGCUCAUCGGAUCACCUGGUCUGAUGAGGAAAUGGAUUCCGCUCCGGGAUGGCCUCGCGGCCUAUCAGCUUGUUGGUGAGGUAACGGCUCACCAAGGCGACGACGGGUAGCUGGUCUGAGAGGACGAUCAGCCACACUGGGACUGAGACACGGCCCAGACUCCUACGGGAGGCAGCAGUUAGGAAUCUUGCGCAAUGGGCGAAAGCCUGACGCAGCAACGCCGCGUGGGGGAUGAAGGCUCUCGGUCGUAAACCCCUUUCAGCGGGACGAUUGUGACGGUACCCGCAGAAGAAGGACCGGCCAACUACGUGUCAGCAGCCGC
Molecule: ribosomal RNA, 479 nt
Filed under: uncultured soil bacterium
Lineage: Bacteria
Description: bacterial SSU rRNA
Rfam family: Bacterial small subunit ribosomal RNA
Source: RNAcentral